This 452-nucleotide ribosomal RNA is filed under the name uncultured bacterium. Its description in RNAcentral is "bacterial SSU rRNA". It matches the Rfam family "Bacterial small subunit ribosomal RNA", at positions 28 to 505 of the family's 1533-position model. The record is from RNAcentral.
GAUGAACGCUGGCGGCGCGCCUAACACAUGCAAGUCGAACGGCACCCCACCUCGGUGGGAAGCGAGUGGCGAACGGCUGAGUAACACGUGGAGAACCCGCCCCCUCCUCCGGGAUAGCCUCGGGAAACCGUGGGUAAUACCGGAUGACGCCCGGACGACGCAUGUCGCCCGGGCCAAAGCCCAGACGGGAGGGGAUGGCUCCGCGGCCCAUCAGGUAGACGGCGGGGUGAAGGCCCACCGUGCCGACGACGGGUAGCCGGGUUGAGAGACCGACCGGCCAGAUUGGGACUGAGACACGGCCCAGACUCCUACGGGAGGCAGCAGUGGGGAAUCUUGCGCAAUGGGGGGAACCCUGACGCAGCGACGCCGCGUGCGGGACGAAGGCCCUAGGGUCGUAAACCGCUUUCAGCAGGGAUGAGACAAAACGGUACCUGCAGAAGAGCCUGAMUUYG